RNAcentral lists this ribosomal RNA (491 nucleotides) under Vinaphilus dentatus. Its description in RNAcentral is "partial 16S ribosomal RNA". It matches the Rfam family "Bacterial large subunit ribosomal RNA", at positions 1832 to 2600 of the family's 2925-position model. Lineage: Eukaryota; Metazoa; Arthropoda; Chilopoda; Geophilomorpha; Gonibregmatidae. The record is from RNAcentral.
GUUUUCUUGGUGAGGAUGAGGAAUUGGGCCUGCCCGGUGUAGUAUUAACGGCCGCGGUAACUUGACCGUGCAAAGGUAGCAUAAUCAUUAGUUUUUUAAUUGGGAGCUGGAAUGAAGGGUUUGACGGCCUGUAGCUGUCUUUUCUUAUGUGAUGAAUUUUAAUUCAUUGUGAAGAUGCGAUGAUGACAUAAAGAGACGAGAAGACCCUAUAAAGCUUGAGGCCAAGGUGAAGAUUAAGUCAUUUUUGGAAUUUUGUUGGGGCGAUGGCCAUUAUGAGCAAACAUGGUUAAGAGUAGUGUUGGAUAGUUUUGGAGACCUAUAAGAUUGAUCCAUCAUAGGUGAUAGAAGGAGAAGCUACUUUAGGGAUAACAGCGUAAUUGGACUGGAGAGUUCAUAUUGAUAGUCUUGAUUGCGACCUCGAUGUUGAAUUAGGAUUUCUUAGGGCUGAAGGAGGCCUGUGGGAUAGUCUGUUCGACUAUUAAAUUCCUACA